This 253-nucleotide ribosomal RNA is filed under the name uncultured bacterium. RNAcentral's name for it is "partial 16S ribosomal RNA". It matches the Rfam family "Bacterial small subunit ribosomal RNA", at positions 524 to 776 of the family's 1533-position model. The record is from RNAcentral.
UACGGAGGGAGCUAGCGUUAUUCGGAAUUACUGGGCGUAAAGCGCACGUAGGCGGCUUUGUAAGUAAGAGGUGAAAGCCUGGAGCUCAACUCCAGAAUUGCCUUUAAGACUGCAUCGCUUGAAUCCAGGAGAGGUGAGUGGAAUUCCGAGUGUAGAGGUGAAAUUCGUAGAUAUUCGGAAGAACACCAGUGGCGAAGGCGGCUCACUGGACUGGUAUUGACGCUGAGGUGCGAAAGCGUGGGGAGCAAACAGG